AUGAGGACUAAGUGGCAACAACAACAAAAUAAAGAAUUUCCAUGGCUAUUAAACAGCUAUACUGAUCGCAGCCCAUGUGCUGUUAUAUUUGUCCAUUUUUUUUAAUAUAAGUAAUAUUAUAAUACAUUCAAUGCUCCACUAAUAUGUAUAAAUAUAUGUCAAAAAAAAAAACGAAAAGGUAGACAGGACUACCGGCCGCAAGUAUCAAGCAACAACAAUUUGUUUUUUUUUGUUUACUUCCACACCCCAACUAAUUAUUAAAUGCCAAUCCAUUUAAACCUACCUAUAAAUACUCUUUAUAACUUUCAUCUCCUAAAAAAACCCUAGCCCCCAACCCGCUGCCUUCUCCCUACAAUUUCGGUCGCCGGAUUUCGGUGACGAUACCUGCGGUUCCAGCUGUUCGUCUCCGGCCACACCCAAACACCACCACACCUUUCGGAACCCCCUGUACACUUGCCGGAACAAGCCAAGACAUCACCGAGUUCCUGCCAAGCUUACGUACCCUCGCCGGAGAAAUCCGAAGCCGUCGGAGGAACCGAGCUCGCCGGAAAAAGCAUCGAGUGUUCCUGUCAUCGUAUCGGAUAUCCAUUUCGUUCUCUUGGAUUUCUCAAUCUUACUCGU
Molecule: long non-coding RNA, 621 nt
Filed under: Helianthus annuus (common sunflower)
Lineage: Eukaryota; Viridiplantae; Streptophyta; Magnoliopsida; Asterales; Asteraceae
Description: hypothetical non coding rna
Source: RNAcentral